RNAcentral lists this long non-coding RNA (2110 nucleotides) under Phaseolus vulgaris (common bean). Its description in RNAcentral is "long non-coding RNA (PVUL_LNC003794)". The record is from RNAcentral. Lineage: Eukaryota; Viridiplantae; Streptophyta; Magnoliopsida; Fabales; Fabaceae.
UAUAUCUGACACACAAAUCCAGCAAAAAUAAAUUAUUCUAACAGAACCAGAUGCAUGCACACAUUGGAUUCAAAACAAAUGCAGUGUCUAGCCACAAACAUGUCAUUUAUCCUGAAUGAUAUUUUGUUUUCUUAACACGUCAAAAUAGUCCACUAACAUUAGCUAGUUAGUUGAUAUAUGUUAAACCAUAAUGAAUCUGAACAGUGUUUUGGUGAAUGAAGCUAUUAUCACAUGUUAUACCAAAUAUAUUUUGUUCAUAAAUGAAGUCAAUCAAACCUGACAAGACAUACUUAAUUUGCAACUAUCACACCACCGAGAAUAAUCUAUUGUAUUUAUUUAAACAAAGUGAAAUAGAUCAAUAGAAUUGUAACAGUAAGAUUCAGAAAAAAAAUCAGAGAACAACACAGGAAAAAGAAAAUUCCUACAAUAUCCAAUGCAAUGGUUCUGAUUUCUAUUCCAGUCAAUGGCUCCCGCAUAUUGCAUCACAGGAAGAACAAAUGAGGAAGAAUAUAGGGAAAAAGGACAAAGUAAUCUUUUUCAAACAAGGCCAGCAAUUUAAUAUUGAAGUGAGCUAGCAAUAUCAUGGACAUGCACAAACACAAACCAUCUAGUACAAACUAACAUGACAUUCAAACUGUUCUCUUGAUGCUCAACAGCAAAAAAUAGUGCAAGAAGUAGUGUCAUUGUUAAUAGAAAUGUUCUUGCCACACAGAUAUACAAAAAUUUAAGAAUUAAGUAUAAGUUUCAUGAAUUUAGUCAAACUUCAGAUUCCAACACAUCAUCCAAUCAUUCCAAUAUAGUUUUUUUAACUUUCAUGAGUGAGCAUUGUAAGGGCAUUUGACAUCUAGAAACCAGGUCAGGAUGUAGAGUCCAAACCUCAGUAAAACUCACAUAAGAAGAUAUUAUCAAAAAUACAAAGUGUACUGAAUUACUAUUUUUCCCACCCAAGUAUAAUAAAUAGUUCACUCUUAUAUUAGGUAUCUUGAAUAAGUUUUUAAAAGAUAACCAUUUACUCCUUGAAAAAUAAACAACAAAUUCCAAAUAUCUUAACAAUAAGAGGAAAGUUAAUCAAUAACUCAAUAUUUAACUGCUUAUCUUAAAAUACCAGAGCUUAAAAUGGAAAAAAAAUAAGAUUAAGAGGUCAUGACUUCAAUAUAAUUGAUUAUCAAUUAUCUGUCCAGCAACCAGUGAUGACACAAUUCAGUUCAAUGCUACUAUAAAAAGAUGAGCAUAUUAUCAACUUGAAAACCCGUAAAAUCAUACCAUUGCAAACAACAUUUACAGUGACAAUUGAUCUCAACUAACAUCCAAUAUAUUCAAGAGCUUUAUUUAGUAAAGCUAGCUAGCAUCUUCACUUCCAUUUUGGUAUCAUAGUUAAUUCAAAUAUGAAGCUUCAAAAAAUGGUAUCAUGUGCAAGAGAAACUCCCUAGUAACAAAAUAAAAGUGACGGUUUCACUGUGCAAGAAUGGUGAAAAAGAAAACCUCACAAUCACAUACAAAAAAUAAUUCCUUUCAGUGUGUUGUGGCUUCUAGUUGAUUACUAGAAUACAGAAAGGGACUAAUGCAUUAAAUGAGAGACUAAAGGGGAGAACUGAAGGGAAUCGCCCCCAAGUUUAUGAUCAUUCCAAAUUUCCAAACAUACAGUAACCAAAUAAAAUGAAAAACCACACAAAAGGAAGAGAUUAACAAGUUAACAGCUUCAGUAAGUAAAAUUCAAUCAAGUAAAGACACUCCUCAUGGUUGAAUCUUCAAAACAUUAAGUCCCCUUACAAGUAGCAAAUAAUAAUAGUACUUUGGUCACAUACGUACUCAUCAAAGAAGGAACAAAUGACAACAAAAUGAAAUAUUUUGUGCUCUUUCCAUCCUCAUUCUUGUAAGCAACCAUUAACAGAAUCAAUUAAAACUUUAAAACAAGCAAGUCACAUAUAAAAGGAUACACAAAUCACAAAUACACAUAAGAACAAGCCCUCAUGAACCAUCACACAGUCAAACAUAAUCACCAUCAGAACCACAUAAAGCAGCACAAUGACAAACUUCAACAGGCCACACCAAAAGUUGACAUUCUAUUCUAAACAAGACAAAACUCAACUCAUAUAUACAGUAAUCAAAA